AAACCUAUUUUUCUUUCUUUCGCUUAUUAAACAAAACUCUAGCCGUCACACACUCCAAACCCUUAUGAGAUAUCGCUUUCAUCUUUCCAUUCAAUCGUAUCAAUCCGUUUAAAUCUGAGUUUGUUUCGACGAUUCAUCAUUAUUCUUCGAUCUCUUUAAUCCUAACGCUUCGGAAUCGAAAUUGACUCGUCGACUGGUCGUACUUCAGAGGCGAACCAGAGUUAGAUUGCUUGCCAGAUUUCACGUGGAAUAGCAAGCGCUGAGUUUAUAUCUCUAUUUACCUCUUUAUUAAGAAAAUGUUAUAUUUUGUAUAUAUAUGUAUAAACAGCUUUCGAACUGUUUUUCGGCAUUGUGGAUUUGAUUUGGAACGUGCUACUCGAUGGGCAUCAUCGGGACUGCGUGCGCACCGGUAAUGAUUAUUAUGGUAUUGAGGUAGGUUUGAGAUGCGUCUCACCUUAGUGAGGGCACCGGUGGAAGAUACGUCUCCUGUGCUCACUAUUUAUAAAGUGAUAGUCGGGGAUCGGUUAUUGAGAUACGUCUCACCGACACGACAAUGGAUUUAGAAUUGUGGUUUAGGGUUUCAUUGAUAAUCCAUAAUGAACAAAUGUUUUAUUAAA
Molecule: long non-coding RNA, 617 nt
Organism: Mercurialis annua (annual mercury)
Lineage: Eukaryota; Viridiplantae; Streptophyta; Magnoliopsida; Malpighiales; Euphorbiaceae
Exons: 3
Source: RefSeq, a predicted model, not a curated record